This is a long non-coding RNA of Mesocricetus auratus (golden hamster), 1110 nucleotides long. RefSeq lists it as uncharacterized. The transcript is spliced from 3 exons. Lineage: Eukaryota; Metazoa; Chordata; Mammalia; Rodentia; Cricetidae. The record is from RefSeq and is a predicted model, not a curated record.
AGAGAGCACCUGCUGUCGGGCUAGCAGAAGGCAGAAGCCAGCACCAUCUUAAGGGUGUGGCACUUUGCAGCUCUCUACAAGAAACAAUAGCUGAGAUCAGAACAUCUUGUGUAUGCUGACGAUUUAUGCUAGGUACUAGUUCCAGCCUCAGACUGGCCUUGCCAAGUCUCUUUCUAUACAACGACACAGAAGAAAUUGCCAGUUGUCCAUCUAUCAGAUCUCUGAGAAAGACUUGGGUUGGUCUGGCUCCCCACAGGAAGAAAAAUCUGCAGAGUAAAGAGUGCUGCAUGGUCUUGUCAUUUAGGCUCUGAUUUGCCUCAGUAAGCUGGAGGGCUCCUCCUGGGCAAGGACCAACUUAGCCAUGUAUGUGACUGCGUCUUGGAAAUCAAUGCAGAGCUACUGAAGAAAUACUUCCUCUAUUCCUUGUGACAAGAAGCCUCUACCACAACCUUGAGCAAGAGUUGCAGAAGCUUUGUGAAAAGUGAAAGGCCAGUAUUUACUUUUGGUGCUGAAAGUGAGUCCUAAAGCUAUGGACAAUUCCUUCUACUGAUGAAGUGUAUGCUUCAUUGUGAACCUAGUAAGUUUGAAAAAUACAGAACUGAGACCAGGACACAGUUUGUGUUGUGGAUGUUGUUUCUGUUCUUCACCAUUUUGGAAAUUUGAUUUGAUGGUUAACAUAGUUAUGGAUUUGGGCUGUCAACUAUCUUAAACUAUGUUCUAGUGGGAGGUCACUUCUGGCUGUUCAUUUGGAGGGAUUAUCAUUAUUUAAUUUACACAAUGAACAGACUUAAGAAGAAGAAUGUAGAAUCAACAUUGUAUUUUUUGAUUGAAUUGAUAAGGUCUCUUUCUACAAAUUUUCCUGUCUGACAAAGGAAAGCAAAUGACAUUGUGUCACCGAACAUUGCUCUCCAUUUAAGCUCUGCUUGCCUGGAUUACAAUUUCACUCAGUUUUGAUUUGUUGCCUAUUUCUGAAUCAAUGACAUAUAUUUCUUAAUCUUUAUGACUAUGUAUUUACUGUACAAAUCAGGACACUAAACUAUGUUUAUAGUAAAGUUCAAAUGAAACACAGAAUUUGAAAGUAAACAGUUAAAAUAAAGGAGUUAAAGACUA